GUGUGGAUAAGCAGUGUUUACCGAGUUCAACAGUUCUAGAAUAGUUUGGUUUCGUCAGUCCGCUUUAGAUUCCUUUAUAUUACAGCUUUCAUUUGGGCCCUUGUAUGUGUGUUGCAUAAAGUAUCACAGCAGUACACCCAUAAAUAGGUCACAAACUAGCCCAGGGCUGGCUAUAAUGCUAACUACAUGCUAACGGUUAAUUGUACCAUAUCUUCGUCUGUGUUUGAUGUACAUGAACAACACUUAUAUAGUGCUGUAGCCCUGACUCUGUUGUUUAAUUUGAUGUUAAAUAUGUAUAUAGUCAUAUAGUCAGCCAUUUGAACCCCAAGGCACUGGCUGACCAAGGAAAAAAAGUACUUUUUUAUUUUUUUUCAGAGCUCUGAAUAUUGUUUUAUAGUAGUAGUUAUAGGUGAUAAGCAAACUGUAGGAAAUUGUGUUAUUGAUUAAAUGCCGGCAGUUGUUCAGUUAAACUAAAGUGUUUGUGUGUAUUGUUUCCCUCUCCUACUUGAAAAGAGCGCUAGUACAGUAUGUAACUGAGUGUAAUAUUAUAGUCCAACACACUGAGGAGGUCUUUCCUGAAUGCCAACAAAGAGGUGUCGUCUACACACAGGAAGAUCUCCUAGAAGUUGAGUCAUCGAGGAUCCUGAACUAGCUGAUUGCUCAGACAUGACAGGACAUGUCUGACUGUUCUUCAAGAUUAAAAUGAGCCAUCUUCUCCAGGUCAACAGACACAUUGUGUGUCUCAACAACAAGCAAUCAACGAGUGUGGAACAAGUUAUACAUAUUUAUUUAGCCUCAUACAAGACUUCGUUACAGAAAACCAGUCAGUCAGAAGCUGUAAAGAUGUCUCCACCUGCUAAUGCUAGCGUCAACCAGAAGAUUCUGCAGUAUGAAGGCUUCAUCAACGAAGUUCUGAUGAGAGAUUUAGGAAGGGUGUUGGAGCAGAGAGAUACUGUUUAUGAGAAGAUCGCUGAGUACUUACAGCUGAAGAACACCAUCCAGAGUCUGCAGGUACACAAGGAAAAUGCAAUGAAAUAUGGCAAAAGAGAACAGAGGGCUUCUCAGGUCUUGUCGCCCGCUGAUGACAUGGGGCCUCAUGUACGAAGGAACUCUGACUCUCGGCUGUUGAAGACCGAUGUGGAUCUUGGCUGUCACUUCUACAUACAGGCUGAAGUGUAAGAUACUGAUCAAGCCCUCGGUCACCAUUGGUAUUGAUCCAUUACAGAGCAUAAAACUGCAGCAUGUUAACGCUCUCAGAUCUGUGCUCAGUCAUGUUCCAGUUGUGUUAUUUGGGAAUAUCUGCUUUGACUUAAACAAGGUUUUUCUGCCAAUGUUCCACUGACUAUUGUGUUUCUGUCAGCGAGGACUCAUCCAGGGUCUUUGUGGCAGUCGGUUAUGGCUUCUUUGUGGAGAUGACCCACACUGAAGCUCUAAGGUUCAUUGAUAAGAAGACAAGUCAGCUCACAGCCUUUACAGAGCAGCUCACUAAAGACUCUGCCAAAAUAAAAG
Betta splendens (Siamese fighting fish) is the source of this 1509-nucleotide RNA transcript. It is a transcript of the gene named ubiquitously-expressed, prefoldin-like chaperone, with no coding region annotated. The transcript is spliced from 8 exons. The record is from RefSeq and is a predicted model, not a curated record. NCBI's taxonomy places the organism in Eukaryota, Metazoa, Chordata, Actinopteri, Anabantiformes, Osphronemidae.